UCAAGGGAAGAAGGGCAUACGGUGGAUGCCUAGGACGUAGGAGGCGAAGAAGGGCGCGGCAAGCUGCGAAAAGCCACGGUAAGGUGCAAGCGACCGAAGAGCCGUGGGUACCCGAAUGGGGAAACCCGGUGAGCUGAGAGGCUCAUCAUCCCGAAAGGGAGGCGAACCCGGUGAAGUGAAACAUCUCAGUAGCCGGAGGAAAAGAAAGCGAAGCGAUAGCGUGAGUAGUGGUGAGCGAAAGCGCUGGAGUCCAAACCGAAGACGUGUCAAGCGCGCGGGCGUUGCGUCUUCGGGGUAGGGGGACGUUCGAGGGGUGGCUGCGCCCACCCACUCAGACGGAAGGCGUUUAGGAGAAAUCUCUGGGAAGGGAUACCGAAGAAGGUGACAGUCCUGUACCCGAAAGGCGCCGGAGCUGAGGAACGAUCCCAAGUAGUGCCGGGCACGUGAAAUCCGGUAUGAAUCAGGGGAGACCACUCUCCAAGACUAAAUACUCCUACGGACCGAUAGAGAAGAAGUACCGUGAGGGAAAGGUGAAAAGCACCCCGGGAGGGGAGUGAAAGAGAACCUGAAACCGUAUGCCUACAAGAAGAGGGAGCGAAAGUGACCUCGUGCCUUUUGAGUAAUGUGCCUGCGAGUGGUCGUAUCGGGCGAGGUUAAGCCGGGGGAGGCGGAGCCGGAGGGAAACCGAGUCUGAAGAGGGCGAAAGAGUCCGAUGCGAUCGACCCGAAGCCAGGUGAGCUACCCAUGUCCAGGGUGAAGGUGGGGUAAGACCCACUGGAGGCCCGAACCGGUGGACAGUAAAAAGUCUUCGGAUGAGGUGUGGGUAGGAGUGAAAAGCUAACCGAACCUGGUGAUAGCUGGUACUCUCCGAAACGUAUUGAGGUACGGCCUCAGGGGGUCCCUUGCGGGGGUAGGGCGCUGGAUGGGGUAGGGGAGCAAUCUCCGAACUCAACCAAACUGCGAAUACCGCAAGGAAUAACCUGGGAGACAGCCCGUGGGGGAUAAGCUCCACGGACGAGAGGGAAACAACCCAGACCGACGGCUAAGGUCCCGAAGAGAUCGCUUAGUGUGCAAGGAAGUGGUGUGUCCGAGACAGCUGGGAGGUUGGCUUAGAAGCAGCCAUCCUUGAAAGAGUGCGUAACAGCUCACCAGUUAAGACAGGCUGCGCCGAAGAUAGAGGGGGCUGAAGCGAUUCACCGAAGCCGCGGAAUGCGAAAGCAUUGGUAGGAGAGCAUUGCGCCGAGGGAGAAAGCCGGACUGCGAAGGCGGCUGGACGGAGCGCAAGGGAGGAUGCAGGCAUGAGUAACGAGAAGACGGUGAGAAUCCGUCUCCCCGAAAGCCUAAGGGUACCUGGGGAAGGGUCGUCCACCCAGGGUAAGCCGGACCUAAGGGGAACCCGAAAGGGGUAACCGAUGGGAAGCCGGUAAAGAUUCCGGCGCCAGGCGUCCGGGAGGUACGAGCGGGGACACAGGAGGAUAGGCUCUGCGAAGAAAUGGGAAAUUCGUCCAAGCCUCGAGCUGUAGAAGCGCGUAGGGAAGGCCGCGCGCGGAGGUAAGGGGUGAAGGGGAGUCCAUCGAAGGGUGGGCAACGGAGCUGAGUUCACACUGUCAAGAAAAGCCGCGCGUACCGGCGAACGGAAGCCUGACCGUUCUAAAAACCGACACAGGUAGGCUAGUUGAGAAGACUAAGGGGAGCGGGAGAACCUCCGCUAAGGAACUAGGCAAAAUGGCCCCGUAACUUCGGGAGAAGGGGCGCUCCUGCGGGUUAAGAGCUAGCGGGAGCUGCAAAGACCAGGCUCUGGCGACUGUUUACCAAAAACACAGGACUCUGCGAACACGAUGAGUGGACGUAUAGGGUCUGACGCCUGCCCAGUGCUGGAAGGUUAAGGGGAGUGGUCAGCGCGAGCGAAGCUACGAACCGAAGCCCCAGUAAACGGCGGCCGUAACUAUAACGGUCCUAAGGUAGCGAAAUUCCUUGUCGGGUAAGUUCCGACCUGCACGAAUGGCAUAACAACAUCCCCGCUGUCUCGACCAGGGACUCAGCGAAAUUGUAUUGGGGGUGAAGAUACCCUCUACCCGCGGCAAGACGGAAAGACCCCGUGAACCUUUACUGCAACUUGGCAGUGAAGCUCGGGACAUUCUGCGUAGGAUAGGUGGGAGACUUUGAAACCGGGGUUCCGGCUUCGGUGGAGUCAACCUUGAAAUACCACCCUGAAUGUUCUGGGCUUCUAACCCAGCACCGUUAUCCGGUGCGGGGACACUGUCUGGUGGGCAGUUUGACUGGGGCGGUCGCCUCCCAAAAAGUAACGGAGGCGCGCG
Molecule: ribosomal RNA, 2318 nt
Filed under: wastewater metagenome
Description: bacterial LSU rRNA
Rfam family: Bacterial large subunit ribosomal RNA
Source: RNAcentral